Molecule: ribosomal RNA, 468 nt
Filed under: uncultured bacterium
Lineage: Bacteria
Description: partial 16S ribosomal RNA
Rfam family: Bacterial small subunit ribosomal RNA
Source: RNAcentral
GACGAACGCUGGCGGCGUGCUUAACACAUGCAAGUCGAACGGAAAGGCCCUGCUCUUGUGGGGUGCUCGAGUGGCGCACGGGUGAGUAACACGUGAGUAACCUGCCCUUGACUUUGGGAUAACUUCAGUAAACUGGGGCUAAUACCGGAUAGGAGCUCCUGCUGCAUGGUGGGGGUUGUAAAGUUUCGGCGGUUGGGGAUGGACUCGCGGCUUAUCAGCUUGUUGGUGGGGUAGUGGCUUACCAAGGCGUUGACGGGUAGCCGGCCUGAGAGGGUGACCGGCCACAGUGGGACUGAGAUAGGGCCCAGAGGCCUACGGGGGGCAGCAGUGGGGAAUAGUGCGCGAUGGGCGGAAGCCUGAUGCAGCAACGCCGCGUGCGGGAGGACGGCCUUCGGGUUGUAAACCGCUUUCGCCUGGGACGAAGCGUGAGUGACGGUAAUGGGUAAAGAAGCACCGGCUAACUACGUG